RNAcentral lists this long non-coding RNA (251 nucleotides) under Daucus carota (carrot). RNAcentral's name for it is "long non-coding RNA (DCAR_LNC005547)". Lineage: Eukaryota; Viridiplantae; Streptophyta; Magnoliopsida; Apiales; Apiaceae. The record is from RNAcentral.
AGGUGCUGGUAGCCUGGUAUACACACGUUCGCCUCACAGAACUUCUCGGCAAACUGUCGACUCAAAGAGUCAAAAUACCUAAUUCACUCUCCAUCCAAUCAUCCAUGAUCCAUCAGUGAUCAAUCUUUUUUCAGUUUCCCACUCUCGAUCUCCUCUCGCUUUUUCCACUCAAUGUCACUUUCCCUUUUCGAUAUCUUGGUGGAUGGCGGGAUCGAUUCUGCUAUAGGUUCACUAGAUUGCUCGGCUUCCCA